This 262-nucleotide long non-coding RNA is filed under the name Nicotiana benthamiana. Its description in RNAcentral is "long non-coding RNA (NBEN_LNC041034)". Lineage: Eukaryota; Viridiplantae; Streptophyta; Magnoliopsida; Solanales; Solanaceae. The record is from RNAcentral.
UUGAUAAAGAUCAACCAAAUGUCUUGGUACAUGGCAAGCUUUUGAGCAGUGCCCUUUUCCACUGCAACGAUAGCAUAUUGUUUCUGAACUAUUUGCCUUUGGAUUCUCAUAAUCCCGUUUCUGCUUGUGGUGGUUAUUUCUCUUUGGGGAUGACGGACAUUAGGGAAAUUUCUUCCUUGUCUACGUCCAUGGCUAUGACCCCGAUUACGACCACGACCAUGACUAGAUCCAUGGCCUUUUCCAUGCUUGGCAUAAUGAGAAU